This 429-nucleotide ribosomal RNA is filed under the name Chloroflexota bacterium. RNAcentral's name for it is "Chloroflexi bacterium partial 16S ribosomal RNA". It matches the Rfam family "Bacterial small subunit ribosomal RNA", at positions 355 to 776 of the family's 1533-position model. The record is from RNAcentral. Lineage: Bacteria; Bacillati; Chloroflexota.
UGGGGAAUAUUGCACAAUGGGCGCAAGCCUGAUGCAGCCAUGCCGCGUGUGUGAAGAAGGCCUUCGGGUUGUAAAGCACUUUCAGCGGGGAGGAAGGCGGUGAGGUUAAUAACCUCACCGAUUGACGUUACCCGCAGAAGAAGCACCGGCUAACUCCGUGCCAGCAGCCGCGGUAAUACGGAGGGUGCAAGCGUUAAUCGGAAUUACUGGGCGUAAAGCGCACGCAGGCGGUCUGUCAAGUCGGAUGUGAAAUCCCCGGGCUCAACCUGGGAACUGCAUUCGAAACUGGCAGGCUAGAGUCUUGUAGAGGGAGGUAGAAUUCCAGGUGUAGCGGUGAAAUGCGUAGAGAUCUGGAGGAAUACCGGUGGCGAAGGCGGCCCCCUGGACAAAGACUGACGCUCAGGUGCGAAAGCGUGGGGAGCAAACAGG